AACGAAAACCGUUUCAGCGAUAGCACACACUAACAAACAAAUGCAUAUGUGUCUGUGUGUGUGCAUUCACCUUAGCGAUAUAGUCGCCUAUUUGGGGCUGCUUGAAGUGCUUAAGCAGAUAACUGUGUUUGCUUUGCUAUUGUGGCUAUAAGUGGGUAUGUGUGUGCUGCGUUUGGGGCUGCUUUAAGCUGUUACCGCUAUAUACUAAGUCUACAAGAAGCCAACAAUGUUAAUUUGCGCUUGUGAUUGUGCUCAAUAUUUGGUUGCGUUACCGUUAAGCGGUUUUUAACUAUUGAAAUUUACGCAAAACUGACGUUUUCAUAUAUACAUACACACAUAUCAUAUUUGACCAUAACAUAACAUAGUUUAAACGUCGACAUGACAACCCAGACAACCCACUGUGGGGGUGCAUGCGCACAGAUAUACACACAAAUAUCAAAAACAUUGACUCAUAUUUUAAUAUACAUAUAUUUAUUUUUGUUAUUGUAUACCCCUUGUACCUGCAUCGCCCACAAUAAGCUCUGAGCUCUUGAAUAAUUGCUACAACCAGCGCCGACAAAGCAUUUCCAAGCGCCCCAAACUGAUCAUAUUUCAAAGGCGCUCGAUUUGAUUUUGAACUUUUAAUAGACACGCGAGUGAAGGAAACAAUGCAGUAGUUCAAAAUCAAUUAAAUGCCGCUCGCCAAACAAGCAACGGAAAUUAAUUAGUAUGUGUGGAUGUGAUUGGGUGUAUUUGGAAUUAGAACAAUACCUUUGGGUCUUUGCAUAAAGGAAUUAGAAGCACAAGCAUUAUAUAAUCUGGUGAUCUGUUGGUACUUUCUUUUCCAUCUAGAAAACUAAAAAUCUUGAAACCUCUAACGUAACCUGUACUAUUUGUUUACCCAAAUUAAUCAUCCUAUGCGUGUACUUCUUGAUAUUUUUCUAUAGCUGAAUCUACAAGUAAGAAAGUAGAGCAACUCCGAACGACUCUCUUCUCAGUUGGGGAUACGUAACAAGAACAGAUCCCCCAAACCUAUCAACUCGAUAUUACACAAGAUUAUAUGUCCACUACAAUAACAAUUACUCCAAACAAUGUUCUGCGGCUAAGACUGUUGUGGAAAACUUUUACUGCUGGUUGGUCGAACCCCUCUAAUUCCCAACAUCACCCGUAACAUAGUCUAAAUAUGAAUACGAGAGCUAUUAUAAUACGCUCACAAAAAAUGUAAUUUGUAGACCCAAUAAAGAUUACAGAGGUAAUGCAUUGUUCUAUGUCAAAAACAAAAAAGUCAACAGAAUAAAUUGGAGCAGAUCACAAUGUUUACUCUUUAUUUGUCACAAAAUGGAAUGGCUUGCAAUUAACAUUUUUGCGAAUAAUUUUAAUAAUCUUUACUAUUUCAUAUAUGUAUCAUCAUCAUGAAAUAUUCUUCAAAAAGUCUAGUGUAGAGUACAAAUGUAAAUAAAAGAGACUGAUUUAAAAUUACUGAUUACACACGACGGUUAUAAAGAUAAAGUACUAAAGCACUUGGCAUAUGAGCUCAUAAUGAUAAGCGACAGAGAACGUUGUAAAACAAAACAGGAAAAAAGCUGAUAUUAUAAUGAAUAUUAGGUGACAAAAAUGAUGAGUGCUUUUAACGCCUGUUUUAAUCUAGAUGCUAUAAAUGUACAAAUAUGGUUUACAUAUCUACUUGCAUAUACUUUAAACAUAAAUAUACAUUCAUAUUGAAUUAGUGAGUAUACAUUUGAAUAGCUUUCUGCUUCAUGUAACUAAUAUAAUUAAGUAAUAAAUGUCACUGCGAGCAUAUUUAUUGUAAAAAUAUUUCUUGCUAUGUGAAUAAGCAUUUAAAUUUUUCCCUUUUUUAUUUCAGAAACAAAUUUAUUAAAAUUA
Molecule: long non-coding RNA, 1863 nt
Organism: Zeugodacus cucurbitae (melon fly)
Lineage: Eukaryota; Metazoa; Arthropoda; Insecta; Diptera; Tephritidae
Exons: 3
Source: RefSeq, a predicted model, not a curated record